Molecule: long non-coding RNA, 300 nt
Filed under: Homo sapiens (human)
Lineage: Eukaryota; Metazoa; Chordata; Mammalia; Primates; Hominidae
Description: HSALNT0389761
Source: RNAcentral
AGUGUGACUUUUUCAGAAGGUGAGUUACGCGUUCCGGGCAGUCAGUGCACUGCUCAGCAGGAGGAGGUCCUGCAGGUGGUGCUGCAAGGGGUCGGCUGGCCGCAGGGGGGCCGGCAGCAGGGGGACUGCACAGACACAGGCUGGCAGCAGGGAGGCCGGCAGCAGGGGGACUGCACAGACACAGGCUGGCAGCAGGUGGUGCUGCAAGGGGUCGGCUGGCCGCAGGGGGGCCGGCAGCAGGGGGACUGCACAGACACAGGCUGGCAGCAGGUGGUGGCCCAGCAGCAGGGCCUGCACACC